GACGAACGCUGGCGGCGUGCUUAACACAUGCAAGUCGAACGAUGAACCACUUCGGUGGGGAUUAGUGGCGAACGGGUGAGUAACACGUGGGCAAUCUGCCCUUCACUCUGGGACAAGCCCUGGAAACGGGGUCUAAUACCGGAUAACACUCUUGCUCUCAUGGGCAGGGGUUAAAAGCUCCGGCGGUGAAGGAUGAGCCC
RNAcentral lists this ribosomal RNA (200 nucleotides) under uncultured bacterium. RNAcentral describes it as "partial 16S ribosomal RNA". It matches the Rfam family "Bacterial small subunit ribosomal RNA", at positions 28 to 232 of the family's 1533-position model. The record is from RNAcentral.